GACGAACGCUGGCGGCGUGCUUAACACAUGCAAGUCGAACGGAAAGGCCCUGCUUUUGUGGGGUGCUCGAGUGGCGAACGGGUGAGUAACACGUGAGUAACCUGCCCUUGACUUUGGGAUAACUUCAGGAAACUGGGGCUAAUAACGGAUAGGAGCUCCUGCUGCAUGGUGGGGGUUGGAAAGUUUCGGCGGUUGGGGAUGGACUCGCGGCUUAUCAGCUUGUUGGUGGGGUAGUGGCUUACCAAGGCUUUGACGGGUAGCCGGCCUGAGAGGGUGACCGGCCCCAUUGGGACUGAGAUACGGCCCAGACUCCUACGGGAGGCAGCAGUGGGGAAUAUUGCACAAUGGGCGGAAGCCUGAUGCAGCAACGCCGCGUGCGGGAUGACGGCCUUCGGGUUGUAAACCGCUUUCGCCUGUGACGAAGCGUGAGUGACGGUAAUGGGUAAAGAAGCACCGGCUAACUACGUG
This 468-nucleotide ribosomal RNA is filed under the name uncultured bacterium. RNAcentral describes it as "partial 16S ribosomal RNA". It matches the Rfam family "Bacterial small subunit ribosomal RNA", at positions 28 to 507 of the family's 1533-position model. The record is from RNAcentral.